AACGAACGCUGGCGGCAUGCCUAACACAUGCAAGUCGAACGAGACCUUCGGGUCUAGUGGCGCACGGGUGCGUAACGCGUGGGAACCUGCCCUUAGGUUCGGAAUAACUCCCCGAAAGGGGUGCUAAUACCGGAUAAUGUCUUCGGACCAAAGAUUUAUCGCCUUUGGAUGGGCCCGCGUUGGAUUAGCUAGUUGGUAGGGUAAAAGCCUACCAAGGCGACGAUCCAUAGCUGGUCUGAGAGGAUGAUCAGCCACACUGGGACUGAGACACGGCCCAGACUCCUACGGGAGGCAGCAGUGGGGAAUAUUGAACAAUGGGCGAAAGCCUGAUCCAGCAAUGCCGCGUGAGUGAUGAUGGCCUUAGGGUUGUAAAGCUCUUUUACCCGGGAUGAUAAUGACAGUACCGGGAGAAUAAGCUCCGGCUAACUCCGUG
Molecule: ribosomal RNA, 433 nt
Filed under: uncultured bacterium
Lineage: Bacteria
Description: partial 16S ribosomal RNA
Rfam family: Bacterial small subunit ribosomal RNA
Source: RNAcentral